UGAAGUAACACAUGAAACCAUAAUUUUAAUUAUAAUAAUAACAAACUUAAAGUGGAAUGCUACAUCCUGUCUGACAAAUACUAUGGCAAAAUCAUUUGUUCACUUUACUGUAAUCUUGAUAGAUAUAAGGCGCCAUCAAAACGCGCCAAAUACAAAUAUUAAUAGUCAAAAGCAGGGGAACAAAAAAAGGUUUUACCUGCAAAACCGGGUUAGGAGUAAGUUCAGGCUUUAGUAAUUCCUCUUUCUCAAAAGGUGCGAUGUCAAGCAUCUUAACCAAAUUAUAUGCCAAUGCUUGCUGUUGCUCAUCUGGCUUCCACGAGGCAGGAAAUAUGCUGGAAGAAGGAAACAGAAACUCACAGACACCCUCAGCAGAAGGUAGCAUGUUGAAGUUGAAAGAAUCAGGCUGCAAAGGAAAAGAGUUAAAUGAACAUCAAGGUAGUCAGAAGAUUCAAGAUGAAGGUGUUUCCAUGAGUUAACUUCCGGUGUCAUCUAAAUUAGACACAAUGGGAGUGAGGACCUCAACAACUACAUUCCCUAGUCCAUCUCUCCAGACACAACGUACCAUUGCCACCUUGUUUGCUUGCUUCAUUUCUCUUACAAUGGCAGAGACGGCAAUAACAGAGUUUUGUUUUCCCGGAUCAGGAACAACUAUGUUCAGGUCAUCUUUCAUGUGGCGGUGUCUUAGUUGACAUGCAGAGAAAAACACAACACAACACAACAAUCUGUCAACUGAGACAACCAAGAGUUUACAGACAACCAUAAAUAUAGGUGAUUGUUUAUGCUUACCGCAAUAUGUUUGAACCCUGAGUAAAUCCCAGAAGCUUCAUUCUUUCUUCAGUUUUGAACUUGAGGGUUUCCAUCUCAUGUGGUGAUAUAGGAAUAACAUAAGGUCCAUAGCAAAAGCCCUUUAUCCUUUCUUCUGGAGUAAGAACCUCACUAGACUUGGCGAACUUGUCUGUUGGUGACGCCUUGUGGAUAUGCAUUUUUAAAAUGGGAAGUCUCUCAUCAGCCACUGUCUUAUAAAAAGACACCUGCAAAAUUCAAAUUCAAAAAUACCGUCCUCAGGAACUAUCUCGAAUAGUUAUAUAAUCGUCGGAUGGACCAAAGAACACCAAAUAUGAAAUAACACAAUGAUCUCCAGAAACAUUGCACCACAAUCAAUAGAUACCUUAAUUGUUGGGUUAAUCUCAAGAUCACCCCUGGACAAAGUAACUGGAGCAAAUCUCCGGAUCUUGAAGGAAUCUAGAAGUGAGAGUUGAUUCUCAACACACACUGUUUGCGAAACCGAGUUGCUGGAGGAUAAGUUCAACAACUGAUCGUCCUCCGCCAUUAUCUUCUCACUAACAUCAACAUCAGUUGCAACAGGCUUCUUCUCCGCAUCCAUAGCCAGUGGGAGCUCUCCAAAUUCCCAUCCAGGAUCCAAGACAUCCUCAGUCGUAGCACUACGAGUCCAAGGGAGAUCUGUAUUUCCUGUCCAGAAUCAGAAAUUCAUAAUCAGAAAUCAACCUAAAAGUUGACAAAAAAAUAAAUAUAAAAGAAAUUCAACCUAAAUAAUCGGACAAGUUUAAGUAGAAAAUUUCCUUACUGUAAUCACCUGAAACUAAUUACCAUAAUCAGGAAACUCAAAACCAAUGGUACUUUGCCUUUUAACCUUAAUAGCCCUUUAAUUACUCUAUAGUCCAUCUCACUAAUCUGCGAAAAUAUCCUACAGCACAAAAUAUUAAAGACUUGCCGUAUCUAGAGAUGGCCAGAGCUUCCAUUUCCUUCAUGACAAGGUGAGGGUUCUGACAUUCCUGAAUAAACGUCACAGGAAAGUCAUAACACAAAACAAUUUAUAGUACCAACGUACUAUUAACAGGGGAACAAAACUAACAUGGAUACAGCUAAACGUGAACUGAAAUACCAUAGCAUUUAAAUAACGACACCUUUUCUGUAUUAAGAUUUUGAAACAUUUGAUGAAUUGCAAAAGGAUGUUCACCUUUGAUAACAAUGAUCUACACUUUUCUAGCUUCCACGAGGCAGGAAAUAUGCUGGAAGAAGGAAACAGAAACUCACAGACACCCUCAGCAGAAGGUAGCAUGUUGAAGUUGAAAGAAUCAGGCUGCAAAGGAAAAGAGUUAAAUGAACAUCAAGGAAACAGGGGAACAAAACUAACAUGGAUACAGCUAAACGUGAACAGAAAUACCAGAGCAUUUACUUAAUGACACCUUUCCGUAUUAAGAUUUUGAAACAUUUGAUGAAUUGCAAAAGGAUCGUCACCUUUGAUAAAAAUGAUCCACACUUUUCUGGAGCACGGUACCAUCGAAGAGCUACAUAGUCCUGUGGUCAAAAUGCAAUAGGAGAAAAAUUGGUUUCAUGCCAAAUUGAAGAAGUAAUUUUUUAAAGGAAGGCACUGGAUUACUACUCACAGUGCAGAAUAAUGAAAUUAAUGUAUCAAUGAAUGCGAAUCCUGGGAGUUGAAAAUAGAAAGUCUUGAGUUGGCAAUCAGCAUUUCCCAAUAUGUUUUUGGGUUUCAGAUCCCGAUGAUAGACAUUAGCUGAGAGUAAAACAAAAUUGACAGUUAAGAAAAAAAGAGUAUCUUCAGAAAGAUCAUCUAAAACUUAUAGAACUAUGCUAGCUUAACCUGUGUGUAAAGAUUUGAGGCCACUGAGAAGCUGAUAGAGAAAAGACUUGUAACGUUCAAGAACCAAAUCAUCAUUUGCCUUGAUAACCUCAUGCAGAUAAGCUUCCCUCAGCUUCUCCGCAUCAAUUAUGAUCACCCGCCUCUCAAACUCGAAUUGCAACUUUGUGACAGCUUGAUCAGAGGGCUCUCUUUGAACCUUCAAUAAACCCUUGAAGUACACAUCUGCUAGCGCCUGAAGUAACACAUGAAACCAUAAUUUUAAUUAUAAUAAUAACAAACUUAAAGUGGAAUGCUACAUCCUGUCUGACAAAUACUAUGGCAAAAUCAUUUGUUCACUUUACUGUAAUCUUGAUAGAUAUAAGGCGCCAUCAAAACGCGCCAAAUACAAAUAUUAAUAGUCAAAAGCAGGGGAACAAAAAAAGGUUUUACCUGCAAAACCGGGUUAGGAGUAAGUUCAGGCUUUAGUAAUUCCUCUUUCUCAAAAGGUGCGAUGUCAAGCAUCUUAACCAAAUUAUAUGCCAAUGCUUGCUGUUGCUCAUCUGGCUUCCACGAGGCAGGAAAUAUGCUGGAAGAAGGAAACAGAAACUCACAGACACCCUCAGCGGAAGGUAGCAUGUUGAAGUUGAAAGAAUCAGGCUGCAAAGGAAAAGAGUUAAAUGAACAUCAAGGUAGUCAGAAGAUUCAAGAUGAAGGUGUUUCCAUG
RNAcentral lists this long non-coding RNA (3326 nucleotides) under Capsella rubella. RNAcentral describes it as "long non-coding RNA (CRUB_LNC003201)". The record is from RNAcentral. Lineage: Eukaryota; Viridiplantae; Streptophyta; Magnoliopsida; Brassicales; Brassicaceae.